CAGGCAGGCGGCUUUGUGUGUCCUCUGUGAAAGCCCUCGGCUCAACCGAGGAAUUGCAGGGGAAACUGCGGAGCUUGAGUCCGGGAGAGGGUAGUGGAAUUCCCAGUGUAGCGGUGAAAUGCGUAGAUAUUGGGAGGAACACCAGUGGCGAAGGCGGCUACCUGGACCGGUACUGACGCUGAUCUGCGAAAGCCAGGGGAGCGAACG
Molecule: ribosomal RNA, 207 nt
Filed under: uncultured bacterium
Lineage: Bacteria
Description: partial 16S ribosomal RNA
Rfam family: Bacterial small subunit ribosomal RNA
Source: RNAcentral